AUAGAAUUUAUUCUUAACAAAUUGGUAAAAAAUUGGAAAAAGUGAAAGGGAAAAGAGUGAAAUGUAAAAAAUAAUAGUGAACCACAUUGAAAGUGAACUUACAAGAUAUAACAAAAAGUGAAAGUGGCCUCAAAAGAUCAUAUAGACAUAACAGGAAAGGAAAAGGAUCCAACAUAAUAUCAACCUCUUAACCGCUUUUUCGAAAAGUACACGGUAAACCAUGAUAACGGGAUGAAAGUUUUGACCCUGUGUACUAUUUUUCACGUUCAAGCAGCAGUUCUAUUGACCCAACUUAGACAAGACUCAUCAG
Long non-coding RNA from Eurytemora carolleeae, 310 nucleotides. RefSeq lists it as uncharacterized. The transcript has 3 exons. Lineage: Eukaryota; Metazoa; Arthropoda; Copepoda; Calanoida; Temoridae. The record is from RefSeq and is a predicted model, not a curated record.